UUACUGUUCUGUUUUUAUCAAAGAAUAAUAUAUCAGUUAUAUUAUGUCUUGCAGCGGUAACCGUUUUGAGCGUCGUAUUGGUUGAUAUUUAUUACAUAAACAAUGAUAAAUGCUAUAGAUAAUACUUAAAUUCUGUCUGUUUGCACGAACUUGGGGUGGGUGCAUGUUUACUGUAACAGCGCGUUAGCCAGCAGGUCCGCUGACUACCCAUCCUUUGUGUUGUGUGAGACGUAGCAGUAGUGCCACGUAGCGGUAGUUUCUGUCAAAUCAGAAGUGUUAAGUAGCAGUUUGAUUGCCCGUGAGUGUUGAGAACGAUAGUUUGGUGUUCUGAAGAGGAUUAGACAGAACUCAGUAUUGGAAUAUUUGAAGCUAUUUACGAAUUUGCCUACCCUGCCUCGAGGCAUACUGGACAAAGAGGCCUUGCAGGUAGCCGUAGUCGGGCUGCAGGGGUCGGCUCUGGGGCUCGCACAUUUUUGGCUCAAUUGGACACCGGGUUAUUUCUUCGGGGCUAAAUCGGCCGGGGCGUGAAGCUGAUCAUUAAACUCGAUCUAGUGUCGAGGUUAAGAAUACGUGGAUUUAUAUCUCCGCUUUCCACGGCGUGGUGAAUAAUUAAACACCAGCGACAACUUCACAUUUACGAUUCCUUUAUGUAGCAGUAAAAUUUGUAUCACCUUAAUACACUUUUGCUUGAAAAGUGCCUGAUGUACACCUUCAUACUGAACAGACAGACUGGUUCGUUGAUUAUUUAACAGUGCUGUAAUAACAACGUUUGUUACUUAAUACCAUAAGAGGCGUUUGUGUAAUUAUGUACAAAUAAAUGGAUAAGACUUGGAGAAAUAGGUUGUGGCACAUUUUAAGCUAUCCAGUGAGCACACGCGUAUGGAGAGACGUAAUCUUAUUAUUGUGACUUGCGAGACAAAAACGGAAGUACACUGUUUUAAGAAUUCAUCGAUAUUUAUCGCAGCAUAAAUAGUCCGAAGUAAAUAUUUGGAAUAUGUAAAUUUUAAAUAAGUAAUGAGCGAAUACGUAAUAAUACAUAGGCGAAACUAAAGUAGUUCCUGUGCCGUGCCGAGUAAAAAUCAAG
This is a non-coding RNA of Zootermopsis nevadensis, 1084 nucleotides long. NCBI's taxonomy places the organism in Eukaryota, Metazoa, Arthropoda, Insecta, Blattodea, Termopsidae. The record is from RefSeq and is a predicted model, not a curated record.